RNAcentral lists this ribosomal RNA (816 nucleotides) under Triticum aestivum (bread wheat). RNAcentral's name for it is "partial small subunit ribosomal RNA". The record is from RNAcentral. Lineage: Eukaryota; Viridiplantae; Streptophyta; Magnoliopsida; Poales; Poaceae.
AUGGAGGCCGACAUGGACGCGAGCUUGGACUUCUUGGAGCUGGAGGCCCAUCUGGUGUUCGAUCUCGGAGACGCCGAUAGCAAACGUUGGAUGAGCCUGGCUGACUGCUGCAGCUCGUACCUGCCGGCCGAGGACUCGCUCUCCGGCCUCGACUCCUGCUACAACGACUCCACCGGCUCGCCGUCCACGGCGUCGGCGAGGGCCACCAGGGCCAGCAAGAACAUCGUUGAGGAGAGGGACCGGCGCAGGCGGCUCAACGAGAAGCUCUACGCCAUCCGCGGCGUCGUCCCAAACAUCACCAAGAUGGACAAGGCGUCCAUCAUCCAGGACGCCGUCGCAUACAUCGAGGAGCUGCAGGAGCAGGAGCGCCGGAUCCUCGCCGAGGUGUCCGACCUCGAGGCCGGCGGCUGCACCGCCGUGGUGGUCAAGUCGGAGGCCUCCACCGGUAGCGAGGGGGUGGAGGACGCCGGCGUUGGCUUCUCGCCGCCGAAGAAGACGAGGAGGACUGCCUCCUCCUCCAUCAACGACCCCGUCACUUCUCCUGCAACGCAUCCGGUCCUCCUUGAGCUGGAGGUGAUGCCCAUAGCGGAGAAGCUGGCGGUGGUGAGCAUGAGGCAUGACAACGCGCAACACGUCAUGGCGAAGAUGUACAAGGCGCUCGAUCCGCUCCGUCUCAAGGUCAUCACCUCAAGUGUCACCUUCGUGGACGGCCGCACAGUCCACACAAUGUUCAUCGAGAUGGAAGAAACGGAUAGUGUUGAGACGAUCAAGGAGAUGGUACAGGCUGCACUCAGCCAUCUCGAAUUCUUGAUGUGA